GAUGAACGCUGGCGGCGUGCCUAACACAUGCAAGUCGAGCGGGGUGAUGGUGCUUGCACUAUCACUUAGCGGCGGACGGGUGAGUAAUGCUUAGGAAUCUGCCUAUUAGUGGGGGACAACAUCUCGAAAGGGAUGCUAAUACCGCAUACGUCCUACGGGAGAAAGCAGGGGAUCACUUGUGACCUUGCGCUAAUAGAUGAGCCUAAGCCGGAUUAGCUAGUUGGUGGGGUAAAGGCCUACCAAGGCGACGAUCUGUAGCGGGUCUGAGAGGAUGAUCCGCCACACUGGGACUGAGACACGGCCCAGACUCCUACGGGAGGCAGCAGUGGGGAAUAUUGGACAAUGGGGGGAACCCUGAUCCAGCCAUGCCGCGUGUGUGAAGAAGGCCUUAUGGUUGUAAAGCACUUUAAGCGAGGAGGAGGCUCUUUUGGUUAAUACCCAAGAUGAGUGGACGUUACUCGCAGAAUAAGCACCGGCUAACUCUGUGCCAGCCGCCGCAGUAA
RNAcentral lists this ribosomal RNA (503 nucleotides) under uncultured bacterium. RNAcentral describes it as "partial 16S ribosomal RNA". It matches the Rfam family "Bacterial small subunit ribosomal RNA", at positions 28 to 523 of the family's 1533-position model. The record is from RNAcentral.